Long non-coding RNA from Thalassophryne amazonica, 202 nucleotides. RefSeq lists it as uncharacterized. The transcript is spliced from 3 exons. The record is from RefSeq and is a predicted model, not a curated record. Lineage: Eukaryota; Metazoa; Chordata; Actinopteri; Batrachoidiformes; Batrachoididae.
AUUAUCAUGUGUCUAUUCAGGGUGCUCUUUCGCCCAAAUCUUUGACCACACUCAGAACAGACAAAUGCUUUUUGUCCUGUAUGAAUUAUCAUGUGUGUUUUCAGGUUGCUCUUUAGUCCAAAUCUUUGACCACACGCAGAACAGACAAAUGCCUUUUGUCCUGUAUGAAUUAUCAUGUGGUCGCUCAGGGUGCUCUUUUGUC